CGGACGGGUGAGUAAUGUCUGGGAAACUGCCUGAUGGGGGGGGAUAACUACUGGAAACGGUAGCUAAUACCGCAUAACGUCGCAAGACCAAAGUGGGGGACCUUCGGGCCUCUUGCCAUCGGAUGUGCCCAGAUGGGAUUAGCUAGUAGGUGGGGUAACGGCUCACCUAGGCGACGAUCCCUAGCUGGUCUGAGAGGAUGACCAGCCACACUGGAACUGAGACACGGUCCAG
Molecule: ribosomal RNA, 232 nt
Filed under: uncultured bacterium
Lineage: Bacteria
Description: partial 16S ribosomal RNA
Rfam family: Bacterial small subunit ribosomal RNA
Source: RNAcentral